GACGAACGCUGGCGGCGUGCUUAACACAUGCAAGUCGAACGGAAAGGCCCUGCUUUUGUGGGUUUCUCGAUUGGCGAACGGGUGAGUAACACGUGAGUAUCCUGCCCUUGACUUUGGGAUAACUUCAGGAAACUGGGGCUAAUACCGGAUAUGAUCUCCUGCUGCAUGGUGGGGGUUGGAAAGUUUCGGCGGUUGGGGAUGGACUCGCGGCUUAUCAGCUUGUUGGUGGGGUAGUGGCUUACCAAGGCUUUGACGGGUAGCCGGCCUGAGAGGGUGACCGGCCACAUUGGGACUGAGAUACGGCCCAGAAUCCUACGGGAGGCAGCAGGGGGGAAUAUUGCACAAUGGGCGGAAGCCUGAUGCAGCAACGCCGCGUGCGGGAUGACGGCCUUCGGGUUGUAAACCGCUUUCGCCUGUGACGAAGCGUGAGUGACGGUAAUGGGUAAAGAAGCACCGGCUAACUACGUG
RNAcentral lists this ribosomal RNA (468 nucleotides) under uncultured bacterium. Its description in RNAcentral is "partial 16S ribosomal RNA". It matches the Rfam family "Bacterial small subunit ribosomal RNA", at positions 28 to 507 of the family's 1533-position model. The record is from RNAcentral.